GAUGAACGCUGGCGGCGUGCCUGACACAUGCAAGUCGAACGGAGUCGUUUUGGAAAAUCCUUCGGGAUUGGAAUUCUCGACUUAGUGGCGGACGGGUGAGUAACGCGUGAGCAAUCUGCCUUUAAGAGGGGGAUAACAGUCGGAAACGGCUGCUAAUACCGCAUAAAGCAUCAAAUUCGCAUGUUUUUGAUGCCAAAGGAGCAAUCCGCUUUUAGAUGAGCUCGCGUCUGAUUAGCUGGUUGGCGGGGUAACGGCCCACCAAGGCAACGAUCAGUAGCCGGACUGAGAGGUUGAACGGCCACAUUGGGACUGAGACACGGCCCAGACUCCUACGGAAGGCAGCAGUGGGGAAUAUUGCGCAAUGGGGGAAACCCUGACGCAGCAACGCCGCGUGAUUGAAGAAGGCCUUCGGGUUGUAAAGAUCUUUAAUCAGGGACGAAACAAAUGACGGUACCUGAAGAAUAAGCUCCGGC
Molecule: ribosomal RNA, 473 nt
Filed under: uncultured bacterium
Lineage: Bacteria
Description: bacterial SSU rRNA
Rfam family: Bacterial small subunit ribosomal RNA
Source: RNAcentral